AUGCAAGUCGAACGCUUUGUGGUUCAACUGAUUUGAAGAGCUUGCUCAGAUAUGACGAUGGACAUUGCAAAGAGUGGCGAACGGGUGAGUAACACGUGGGAAACCUACCUCUUAGCAGGGGAUAACAUUUGGAAACAGAUGCUAAUACCGUAUAACAAUGACAACCGCAUGGUUGUUAUUUAAAAGAUGGUUCUGCUAUCACUAAGAGAUGGUCCCGCGGUGCAUUAGCUAGUUGGUAAGGUAAUGGCUUACCAAGGCGAUGAUGCAUAGCCGAGUUGAGAGACUGAUCGGCCACAAUGGGACUGAGACACGGCCCAUACUCCUACGGGAGGCAGCAGUAGGGAAUCUUCCACAAUGGGCGAAAGCCUGAUGGAGCAACGCCGCGUGUGUGAUGAAGGGUUUCGGCUCGUAAAACACUGUUGUAAGAGAAGAAUGACAUUGAGAGUAACUGUUCAAUGUGUGACGGUAUCUUACCAGAAAGGAACGGCUAAAUACGUGCCAGCAGCCGCGGUAAUACGUAUGUUCCAAGCGUUAUCCGGAUUUAUUGGGCGUAAAGCGAGCGCAGACGGUUAUUUAAGUCUGAAGUGAAAGCCCUCAGCUCAACUGAGGAAUUGCUUUGGAAACUGGAUGACUUGAGUGCAGUAGAGGAAAGUGGAACUCCAUGUGUAGCGGUGAAAUGCGUAGAUAUAUGGAAGAACACCAGUGGCGAAGGCGGCUUUCUGGACUGUAACUGACGUUGAGGCUCGAAAGUGUGGGUAGCAAACAGGAUUAGAUACCCUGGUAGUCCACACCGUAAACGAUGAGUGCUAGGUGUUUGAGGGUUUCCGCCCUUAAGUGCCGCAGCUAACGCAUUAAGCACUCCGCCUGGGGAGUACGACCGCAAGGUUGAAACUCAAAGGAAUUGACGGGGACCCGCACAAGCGGUGGAGCAUGUGGUUUAAUUCGAAGCAACGCGAAGAACCUUACCAGGUCUUGACAUCCCUUGACAACUCCAGAGAUGGAGCGUUCCCUUCGGGGACAAGGUGACAGGUGGUGCAUGGUUGUCGUCAGCUCGUGUCGUGAGAUGUUGGGUUAAGUCCCGCAACGAGCGCAACCCUUAUUACUAGUUGCCAGCAUUCAGUUGGGCACUCUAGUGAGACUGCCGGUGACAAACCGGAGGAAGGUGGGGAUGACGUCAAAUCAUCAUGCCCCUUAUGACCUGGGCUACACACGUGCUACAAUGGCGUAUACAACGAGUUGCCAACCCGCGAGGGUGAGCUAAUCUCUUAAAGUACGUCUCAGUUCGGAUUGUAGGCUGCAACUCGCCUACAUGAAGUCGGAAUCGCUAGUAAUCGCGGAUCAGCACGCCGCGGUGAAUACGUUCCCGGGUCUUGUACACACCGCCCGUCACACCAUGAGAGUUUGUAACACCCAAAGCCGGUGGGGUAACCUUCGGGAGCCAGC
Molecule: ribosomal RNA, 1443 nt
Filed under: Weissella confusa
Lineage: Bacteria; Bacillati; Bacillota; Bacilli; Lactobacillales; Lactobacillaceae
Description: bacterial SSU rRNA
Rfam family: Bacterial small subunit ribosomal RNA
Source: RNAcentral